RNAcentral lists this transfer RNA (72 nucleotides) under Ovis aries (sheep). It matches the Rfam family "tRNA". From Rfam's summary of the family: Transfer RNA (tRNA) molecules are approximately 80 nucleotides in length. Lineage: Eukaryota; Metazoa; Chordata; Mammalia; Artiodactyla; Bovidae. The record is from Rfam by way of RNAcentral.
UCCCUGGUGGCUCAGAUGGUAAAGCAUCUGCCUGCCAUGCAGGAGACCCGGGUUCGAUCCCUGGGUUGGGAA